This 24-nucleotide small nuclear RNA is filed under the name Arabidopsis thaliana (thale cress). Its description in RNAcentral is "snRNA_15642". The record is from RNAcentral. Lineage: Eukaryota; Viridiplantae; Streptophyta; Magnoliopsida; Brassicales; Brassicaceae.
GUUGUGAUGCGAAAAUUUCAUAUU